Molecule: RNA transcript, 5415 nt
Organism: Scophthalmus maximus (turbot)
Lineage: Eukaryota; Metazoa; Chordata; Actinopteri; Pleuronectiformes; Scophthalmidae
Gene: phlda1
Gene name: pleckstrin homology-like domain, family A, member 1
Exons: 2
Source: RefSeq, a predicted model, not a curated record
AACCAGCAGCAGCAGCCUCCUCCUCACUACAGCCGACGCGACUCACGGCGGCGUCGUCUCAUGCCUUCGCCCGCCGUCCGCCCGUUGGUCUCGUCGCGCAGGUGGAAGAUGCUGGAGAGCGGGAGGAAGGUGUUCAAGGAGGGUCUGCUGGAGAAGCGCAGCGACGGGCUGCUGCAGCUGUGGAAGAAGAAGCACUGCGUCCUGACCGAGGACGGCGUGCUGCUGCUGCCGCCCAAGCAGCACGACCACCCGCAGCACCAGCAGCCGCACCGCGGCGGCGGGGACGGGGACGCGGGCAGAGUCAAGGAGCUGCACUUCGCCAACAUGAAGACGGUGGACUGCGUGGAGCGCAAGGGCAAGUACGUCUACUUCACGGCGGUCAUGGCGGAGGGCAAGGAGGUCGACUUCAGGUGCCCGCAGGACGAGGGCUGGAACGCGGAGAUCACCCUGCAGAUGGUCCAGUACAAGAACCGGCAGGCGAUCCUCGCCGUCAAGUCCACCCGGCAGAAGCAGCAGCUGCUCGUCGCGCAGAUGCCCGGCCAGAAGACGACCCGCAGCGCGCCGAACGUUGCGUGACCUGCGGCGCGUCCCGCGGACACUGGCGCACCGUUAGCGGUAAGACUGCUUAAGAGCCCAGGGCCGGAGACCACCUGGGGGGACCCCCCCCCCCCCCCCAGCGAAUUAAGGACGCCUUUUUCGAUUUUAUUUUUUUUUAAUGCCCUGGAUGUGCGUACCAUGAGUUGAGGACAAAUGGUUUCUUCAUAGGUUACAUUCCUCCCUCACAGAUCAAAGCCCGGGCGAACGUUCUUCCAGAAGAGGGACAGAAUCGCACCAGAUGUGGAUGUUAUUUUGGCGUAAAGAAAAGUUUGCGAGCCCCUGCUGUAGACCUGCUCAUUCGCCCUCCUCGUGGAGGCGAAAACCACCGCAGGGAAAUGGGGUGGAUUUACAACCUCCAGACAGGUUAAUUGGACGCUCAGCUGGAGGAUGAAUAUUGACCCGGGCUGCAUCUCCCCCUGCCGCUUCAACCAUUGAGCGCCAUUCUCCAGGAGAACCCCUCUUCCAUGUAGUGGUUUCCAAAGAGUGUCCCGUCACUUAUCAACUCAGAGACUUAUUUCACAAAAGACUGAUGGACAGAAAGUAUGUGAGAAAACAACUGUAUUCUACCGUGCAAUGGGUUUAUCCCUUAUUUAUUGGUUGUGUAUAUAUAUAUCUUUUCUACUACUACAAAAAAAAUCGUUAUGUUGUUGAUGAAUGUUCAGUGUGGUUGUGUGCUGGAGUGGAACAGAAAAUGCCCGCUCAGAGGUUCAAAGCCUCCAAGUCACUCAUAAAUCCACUGAGAAUAACAUUUAAUUCAUAGUCAUCUUUUACUAGUCACUAGAUGAAUGGAAAAAUGUGUCAUAGUCCAAUGUUUUAAUUUUUCAACUGAACCAAAGAAUCAUUUCAUUGUCUCUCUUGUGCAGUGUUACACCUCAGAUUCUACCAUACUGAAAUACUAUAUCGUAUAUGAUGAGAAAACCUGCUCCACCUAUACAUAAUUUAUGUUAAGCGCUUGAUUUAUUGAUAACUUAAGUGCAUCUUAGUGUUUUCAUUGUGUACACACGUCAUUUUCCAACAUUUAAUUCGGCUGCAUUCAUAGAUACAAAACCUAUGUGUUGCUUUAUCAGUCUUAAAGCUGCGUGAUAUACCGCACUAUGCCCUCAGUUUGCUUCCAGUGGUUGCAGAGGAGAGUUUAGCAGCAGUGGGUAAGUAACAUGCACAGUGGAGUUUUUGUUAUAUUGACAGUUUUCAGGAGUUGGUUGAUCUCAAGUCACUUUUACUGGUUGCGUUGAAUCCUAGCGGACGGAGAAUAAGCCGUUUUUCUGGAUCGGUAACAUCAGACUGAAUUGAACUACAAAGAAUAAACACUAAAAGAAACCAAUACCUUUCAAGAUUGACAACCGAAAACCUUGACAUUUGCGUAGAGUUCAGGCUUCUUUGCACCAUCUAUUUUCGCGUCACUCCUCUGUGUAUUGUUCAGCUAUCUACAGCAGGGUACAACUUGCCAUUUCAUGAAAGUGUGUGGAUAUAAUUCGACACAGCCCUUUCGUGUGUGACGGGACCUUUGGUUGAGCGGGAUGUGCCACGUGACUUCGCCCCGUUUGUUCCAUAAAGUUUUCUCACGAGGGCAUAUAGCCUUGUGAACAUUUAGUUGGGCAUAAAUCACAUUGGGGCCAUUCUUUGCCGGGCCAACUGACUUCCCGCUGACUCCCUGCACACAAACACAAUUCUCUGCGAUACAGCCCCUUCCUGAGUUUUGAAUUUAACUGGACCCCAAAGGCAUACAUUGUGAUAACGCAGACAGACGUUUCAAGCGUUUUUUGUCACACUGCAGCGAGAAAGUAUUACCUGUAGUUUGCUGUUUUUGUGGACCUGGUGGAACCACAAGUCCGUCUCUACCGCUUGAGAAGUUCUUGUCCGUUCUCUGUUGUAUUAGAGUAGUAGUAGAAAACAACGGCUUAGGUCGGCCAAUAUUUUUUUUUGUCCCUUGGCUACGAAAUGUGAAGGGCUGGAGAGUACAAAAUAAAUCUUUUUAGCUAGUUACCUACUGGCUGAUUGUCUAAUAUCACAAUACAGAGGACUGUGUAUUUUGACUUGAAUCACUACUAGCUAAAUUAAGAUAAAACAGACUCUGGCUAAAUCUACAGAUUUUUUAACAGCAGCCAGGCAGAUUUUUGUAAUCUUGUAGAUGCUUUGCCACUGAGAAAAUGUUCAUAAAACGAUCUUGUCUAAAUCUGCAGGUUAUAUAUUUUAAAGCAUGAGGUGAUUUUCAUGACAAAAUACCAGACUAAAUAGAUAAUAUGGCUGUUACGGGGUGGCAUUUGGUGGGAUGUGACGGGUCACAGUACUGUGCGCGAUGGCGGGAUUUCUUGCCGUCAGGAAACGUUCAACUUCACAGUGGCUUGCGUUGCUUCCUGUUUGCCGGAGGUGUUUCCCCACUGCUUUCCCCUCCUGCCACUGCAUCACCGCCAAACCGACACAUGCCUCUCUGUCGCUGUCAUCUCACACACAGGGUAAUUGCUGCGCCCUGUAACGCAGCCAACCGAUGUGAUGCUUCUCUGACAUACCUCCCUGCUGCCGUCAUUGCACACAGUUAUAGCUGCGCCCUUUGUAGCCACUGUCCGAUUUCUUAUUUUCGACGUGAGAUCUAUUUUCAUACCUUGAAAAGUUACGGUACAUUCCAUAAACCCCCCCCCCCCAACAAAAAACAACAACAACAAAACAAACAAACAUGGUGUCUUGUGUGGUUUCUCUCCGUCUUCUCACGCUGCUGCAGAUGAGCGUCAGAGCCCUGCGGUUCAGCGGGGUCAUUUGAAUGACCCGUUUAACAAGCUGCUGCUCUGACGCUGUCCAGCCUUUCAUGCUUUAAAACUGCUGAACCUCUCACCCCGUGUUUCCUGGGCUAAAAGUAGAGGGCCGUGUGGAGAAUUGGGUUUCACCGCCAGUUGUCGCCGCCCAGAUAAACUGUCAGUAUGUAAUGUCAAAAGCACAAGUGGCCCUGGCCACCCCCCUGUCUAAAGCCAAGCAAAUUCAAUUAAACGUGGGGCGCACGGGGGCAUCCUUUUUGACACAUGGAGCGUCCGCUGCAUCCUUGAAUAACACUGUUUUUUUUAGAGAGCCUUUCUCUCUAAAUAUUGAAGUCUAAGCCACAGAGUCAACUGCUAUCCCUGCCUUCCCUGCUUUUACUUCAGGGACAUCAAAUAGUCACACAAGUGUAAUUUGGAUGCAUAAUGGAAAUACCUUUUCAUUUCAGACAUGUAGCAAAUGUACUAGAGUAAAAACCAAAAAUGCUUUUAGUCCUUGAACACCACCAUUACAAGCAAGACUAUUCAGAGAAUUUUGCUGACACACGUGGCAGCCACAUGAUACCAGUGAAUGUUAAGGCAAAGUGUCAUAGUGCACGCGGAGAAAAAGUCAUACCAUUAUCAAGCUGGCUGUACUGCUUUGUAUGUUUAAGGCUCGCAGACAUCAGCCACCGCAAGCUGCUGGUAAUAUCUGACCCAAGUGAGGUUGUAGCAGCAAAACCUCUGGGGAUACUGAGUUGAACAAGGGUUUAUUGCUCAGUUCAAUUUUCACUUUUGACAGGGCUGUUUGGUUCCUGUGUCUUAGUUUCGUUCUCCUGGUAGAAAUACUUUGAUAUGUUUCCAGGUCAAUGAAUACUAUGGAAGAGUAUUGGGGCCAGGCAUAGGGGAAAAAAAUAUUAUCUAUUAUUAAUUCAAAUUUAUUUAACAUUUCGAGAAUAAAGUCAAAAUGUCGAGAUACCCUAUACGUCCGUGUUGUGGUACCAGGUCAGCUAACUGUCACACAUCCACGUUGACUAAAGUUAGCAAAGCUACGCUGGCUUCGGGAACUGCACGCCUCUGUAAAAUGAAUUCACGGUUGUUUGCAAUUGAACGUUAUCCUGUCAGGACAGACGUUGACGUUCGUGUGCAAAACACCCGUUGUCCCGCAUCGUUUCUUCCAGAUUCAGCCAUGAAUAAUAAUAUCGCAACUUUACAACUUGGUUAGCGGCUAGCGUUAGCGAGCAAAACUGGCUAGCAAAACAUCAACAUCCGGUUGUUUGGUGCGGCUGAAAAGUGCUCCCAUGUUUCACAAUUUUUGGCUUCAUUCUCGAUAUAAUAUUUCAACUUUAUUCUCGACAUUUCGACUUUAUUCUGGAAGUAAAUCAACUUUAUUCUCGAAAUGUAAGAGUAAAAAAAAAUAAAUCUUCCUCCUCUCAUUUUUUCCCUUAUGCUUGGCCCCAAUAGUAUUACACUUACUUAAAAUGGAGCGCUUCUGUAAAGAAGUUUCCAGCGGAGCGACACAGCUGCCUUUAUGAUCAGAUAAAACAACCCUAACUAAGUGAAUUUAACUCUAAGCCUUCCAGCUAUGUUUCUAUUGUCUGUAUACGUUGCACAAAACAAUUAGGGUCUAAUGAGACUUUUUAAUUGAACUAUCACAGUAAAGUGUUUCUGCGCCUCCUCCUGCCCCGGCACUUCAUCUCUGUGUGGUAGCUUUGUGUGAGAUCAGUGAGGACAUGGUGAAGUUACAGUCUUUCCCCUUGUCGAUAACCCCUCGACCACGGCGGCAUGUCACUUUGAAGCAGCCGCAGCAGCAGCUGCCCCUUCAACUAUUGCACAAGAAGCCUCCUUAGCUCCUUGCUGGCAUGUCGCUUGACCGCCAACUUAUUCCUCGCCGUCACAGUCCCCCCUUUGAUCUGCGGGGGGGACAGAAACGUGUGACAAGGCGUUAAGUGUGGCCCUAAGAGACCUAGGUGGAGCUCCUGAACAGACUUGUGUGGGGCUGAAUCCUCGCUGCAUGCCUUGUUUUUUAAGGAAGAAAGAAAAGGAAGUGUUUUUAAUCUUGUAAAAUAAAAAGGAGGAACAUUCAAUAUUUGAA